CCUACGGGAGGCAGCAGUGGGGAAUAUUGCACAAUGGGGGAAACCCUGAUGCAGCGACGCCGCGUGAGCGAUGAAGUAUUUCGGUAUGUAAAGCUCUAUCAGCAGGGAAGAAAAUGACGGUACCUGACUAAGAAGCCCCGGCUAACUACGUGCCAGCAGCCGCGGUAAUACGUAGGGGGCAAGCGUUAUCCGGAUUUACUGGGUGUAAAGGGAGCGUAGACGGCAGCACAAGUCUGGAGUGAAAUGCCGGGGCUUAACCCCGGAACUGCUUUGGAAACUGUGCAGCUAGAGUGCAGGAGAGGUAAGUGGAAUUCCUAGUGUAGCGGUGAAAUGCGUAGAUAUUAGGAGGAACACCAGUGGCGAAGGCGGCUUACUGGACUGUGACUGACGUUGAGGCUCGAAAGCGUGGGGAGCAAACAGGAUUAGAUACCCGAGUAGUC
RNAcentral lists this ribosomal RNA (440 nucleotides) under uncultured bacterium. RNAcentral's name for it is "partial 16S ribosomal RNA". It matches the Rfam family "Bacterial small subunit ribosomal RNA", at positions 338 to 795 of the family's 1533-position model. The record is from RNAcentral.